AUAACCCUACGGGCGCAGCAGUGAGGAAUAUUGGUCAAUGGGCGGGAGCCUGAACCAGCCAAGUCGCGUGAGGGAAGACGGUCCUAUGGAUUGUAAACCUCUUUAGGCGGGGAGCAAUGCCGGGCACGCGUGCCCGGAGGGAGAGUACCCGCAGAAUAAGCAUCGGCUAACUCCGUGCCAGCAGCCGCGGUAAUACGGAGGAUGCGAGCGUUAUCCGGAUUUAUUGGGUUCAAAGGGUGCGUAGGCGGAUUUUUAAGUCAGCGGUAAAAUGUCCGGGCUCAACCCGGGCCGGCCGUUGAAACUGG
Molecule: ribosomal RNA, 305 nt
Filed under: uncultured bacterium
Lineage: Bacteria
Description: bacterial SSU rRNA
Rfam family: Bacterial small subunit ribosomal RNA
Source: RNAcentral